This 5658-nucleotide long non-coding RNA is filed under the name Olea europaea subsp. europaea. The record is from RNAcentral. Lineage: Eukaryota; Viridiplantae; Streptophyta; Magnoliopsida; Lamiales; Oleaceae.
CGAAAUCAAAACUAAACUCUGGCAAACCAAGCAAGGCGACCGAGAUGUGACAGAAUAUUACCUGCAGAUGUCGACGUUGUGGCAAGAACUCGACUUGAGCACCGAAGAAGCAUGGGAUUGCGCAGGCGACAGUGCUCGAUUUAAAACAAGGCUGGAAAACGAAAGGGUCUUCGAAUUCUUGACCGGACUGAACCGUGACCUAGAUGAAGUGAGGGGACGAAUCCUUGGUCGGAAACCCUUACCGUCGACGAGGGAAGUGUUCGCGGAGGUCAGACGGGAAGAAAGCCGGAGAAAAAUUAUGUUGGAGAUGAAUGGAGGUCCUUCAGGCGUGGGUGGAUCGAUUUCUACGAGUGAGUCUUCAGCCCUACUGUCAAAAGGAAUUGGGUCAUCUACCGGGUCGACUAUUGGGCCAUCUAACAGUGGGCUAAAAGGCAAUGGACUGGGGCUUUUAAAAUAUGGCCCAGGAAAUCCUAAUUUUGGGUCAACAAAUGGGCCUGAGAAUACGGGCUUUUAUUUAAAAGGAACGACAAAUGGGUCAGACCCAAGGCAGCAAAAAGGACGACCUUGGUGUGAGCAUUGCCGUAAACCAGGACAUAAUGAAGACACGUGUUGGGAUUUGCAUGGAAAACCCGCCAACUGGAAGCUUAGACAAAGUAAUAAAUACUGUGGAAAUCAGGCAUCAAUUGACUAUCAGGGAGGAAAGUCCAAGGAAUCAAGCGGUGCAUUUAAUGCCGAGCAGAUGGAACAGCUCUACAAAAUGUUUUCUAGCCUACAAUCAUCAAACCAAACCAAUAACCCGUCAAGUUCACUAGCGCACAAAGGUAAUUUUUUGAGGGCAAUCUGCCACUCAACCAAAAACACCCUGGAUCAUUGACUCAGGAGCCUCGGACCACAUGACAGACUCCUACCACUUAUUAUCAUCUUACUCCCCAUGUACCGGUAAUCUCAAGGUUAAAAUUGCAGAUGGAUCUCUGUCCACCAUAACAGGAAAAGGGACUAUUCAAAUCUCUAAUUCUAUAACCUUGGAAUCUGUUCUUCAUGUUCCUAAUUUAUCUUGCAAUUUACUGUCUAUAAGUCAGUUAACAAAAUCCUCAAAUUGUUCUGCUAAAUUUUUCCCAUCUUACUGUGUUUUUCAGGACCUAUCAUCGAGGAAGACGAUUGGCAGUGCUAAAAAAAGUGAAGGACUCUAUUACUUUGACAAGGCAGAUGUGGGUGAACAGUGUCAAAUUAAAAUUUGUGAUUCUGCGUCUAUUCUUAGAAAUAGCGAAAUUAUGUUAUGGCAUUUUAGAAUGGGACACCCCAACUUUCAAUACCUAAAACGUGUACUACCUUCUAUUUUUUUGAAUAAAAAGACAGUUGAUCUUCAAUGUGAAAUUUGUGAACUUGCAAAACAUCAGCGUACACCAUUUCCAAAAUCCGUAUACAAACCAUCAAAGCCAUUCUCUAUGAUUCAUAGAUAUGUAUGGGGUCCCUCAUGAAUUCCAAAUCGUACUCACUCUAAAUGGUUUGUCACAUUCAUUGACGAUCAUACUCGAAUUUGUUGGAUUUACCUACUAAAAGAUAAAUCUGAAGUUCGGGGCGUGUUUGUCAACUACCACACUAUGAUUCAAACGCAGUUCCAAACCAAAAUCCAGAUCUUACACACUGAUAAUGGCACAGAGUACUUCAAUAACAUCUUAGGCGACUAUCUCAGAACCCAUGGCAUAGUUCAUCAAAGUUCAUGCGUUGAUACUCCCCAACAAAAUGGGAUUGCUGAACGUAAAAAUAGACAUAUAUUAGAAGUCGCCCGUUCCCUAAUGUUCACUACAAACAUGCCAAAAAAAAUCUGGGGGGAUGCUGUCCUUACAUCCAUUUACCUCAUCAACCGAAUGCCUAGUCGAGCCCUAAAUUUUGAAACUCCCAUCCAAAAAUUCCGAAAAUAUUUCCCAACUUCUCGUCUUAGCUCUAAUCUACCCCUACGAGUAUUUGGAUGUACUGCCUUCGUACAUGUCUAUCCCCAUCAAAGAAACAAACUUGAUCCCCGGGCAAUUAAAUGUGUCCUAAUUGGCUACUCUCCUACACAAAAAGGAUACAAAUGCUAUGAUCCGCCCACACAACGAACAUUUGUAAGUCUUGAUGUCACCUUUUUCGAAAAUAAACCAUACUUUGAACAAACCUCUCUUCAGGGGGAGACCUUAACAGAAGAUCGGUUCUUUGACUUCAGUCUCUCUUCUCCUGAAUCUUCUCUAUUUAUUCCUCCAUCCGAUGCUAAUAUGCCAUUAACAAAAGAAAAUUUGAAUACAGGGGGAGACGUAGAAAAACAAAAGGAUAAGGAGAUAUUAGUUUACUCACGAAAGCCAAAAUCAAAGUACAUAGAGAAUCUCACGACUGAAGCACCAAAAGAAUCAGAACCGAUGGUAGCUCCACCUGAGAAAGUAUCAGAGUUAUCUAAUACCGACCCAUUGCCCUUAGAAAACAACCACGGUUAUGCACUCAACACCCUAUCUCAAAAUUCAUGCCAUAUACUGCUCUAUCUUCAGAAUUCCGUACUUUUACAGCACGCCUUGACAAUACGAUUAUCCCGAGGAAUAUUCAGGAGGCAUUGGGAGUUCCAGAAUGGAAGGAGGAAGUUUUGGAAGAAAUGCGUGCUUUGGAAAAAAAUAAAACUUGGGAAGUAAUGGAGUUGCUACAAGGAAAGAAACCCGUGGGAUGUAAAUGGGUUUUCAGCUUAAAAUACACAACAGAUGGGACAAUAGAUCGGUAUAAAGCCCGAUUGGUUGCAAAAGGAUAUACUCAAACCUAUGAUAUUGACUACACAGAGACAUUCGCACCAGUAGCAAAGUUGAGUACAAUUCGAGUCCUUCUGUCAAUAGCAGUAAAUUUGUACUGGCCUCUUCAGCAACUUGAUAUUAAAAAUGCAUUCUUGAAUGGGGAAUUGGAGGAAGAAGUAUUUAUGACAUUAUCGCCAGGCUUUUGUAAGUAGGAGGAAAAAGGUCUAGUAUGCAAGCUAAAGAAAUCACUAUAUGGACUCAAACAAUCACCAAGAGCAUGGUUUGAUAGAUUUGCAAAAGUGUUGAAAAAUCAAGGAUAUCGCCAAGGGCAAUCAGAUCACACUAUGUUCCUGCGGCAGUUUGUAGAUGGUACUAAAACUAUUCUGAUCGUAUACGUUGAUGAUAUCAUUUUGACAGGAGACAACAGAAUAGAAAUGGAAAGACUAAAAAUAAGUCUUGCCACUGAAUUUGAAGUAAAGGACUUGGGAAAAAUGCGAUAUUUUCUGGGAAUGGAAGUUGCGAGAUCAAGACGAGGGAUCAGUGUAUCACAACGGAAAUAUGUUCUUGAUCUCCUAAAUGAAACUGGCAUGCUAGGAUGUAAAUCAAGUGAUACACCCAUAGAUAUUGGAAGGAAAAAUGGCAACGAAGGAAAUCCUGUAGAAAUAGACAGAUAUCAAAGAUUGGUUGGAAAAUUGAUUUACCUAUCACACACUAGGCCUGACAUAGCAUUUGCGGUUAAUUUGGUAAGUUAGCACAUGCACUCUCCAAAGGAAAGUCACUUAGAAGCUGUCUAUAAGAUACUGAGAUAUCUCAAGGGCUCCUCAGGAAGGGGGCCAUUCUUCGAAAAGGAUGAAAGAAAAGGAGUGGAAGUCUUCACAGACGCAGAUUGGGCCGGAUCAACAGAUGAUAGGAGAUCUACUACAAGUUACUGCGCAUUUGUAUGGGGAAAUCUACUAACUUGGAGGAGCAAGAAACAAAACGUAGUUGCCAGAAGUAGUGCUGAAAUUGAAUUUAGAGCAGUUGCGCAAGGAAUAUGUGAAGGACUAUGGUUAAAGAAGCUCCUAGAAGAACUAUAUGUCACAAUAAGGCCACCAAUCAAACUUUAUUGUGACAACAAAGCAGCUAUCAACAUCUCUCUUAAUCCAGUUCAACAUGAUCGAACAAAACACGUAGAGGUAGACAGACACUUUAUCAGAGAAAAAGUUGAGGAAGGAAUCAUUUGCAUGACCUAUGUUCCUACACAAGAACAAACUUCAGACAUCUUCACUAAGGGACUAUCAAGACAGAAAUUUGAUGAUUUCAUUUUCAAGUUGGAUAUGAUAAACAUUUAUGAUCCAACUUGAGGGGGAGUGAUGAAAUCACGAUUUUUAGGGAUUAUUUAUUUCCAUAGUUAGAGUUGUAAUUAAAGGAUUGAUUGAUUAUUGUAAUCUUUAGAUUUGGUAGGCAAUUGUUUCUUUCCUUUUAUUUUUCCCUUCUUUGUACUAUAAAAGGGACGAUGUAUAGCUCAUAUUUAAUAAGAAGAAAUUUAUAAUCUCUCUUCAAUUUUAAAAGUUUUCAGCUUUUGAAUCUUAAAACUUGUCUAAUCUCAUAAAACUCCAGUUGUCUCAAAGCAGGAUGUCAGGAGGCUCUAGGCAUUGAGCUAAUUAUGGCUAAAAUGGUAACACUUUUAGUGCAUGUCAGUUUUAAUUUCAUGUUUCUUACUUUUGGCUUUAAUGUUGAUAAUAAAUUGUUUUACUCAAUACCCUUUUUUUUAACUCUACAGAUACUAUGGGGUCCGUGCAACCUUGUUAAUGGUGUUUAUAAAAAUUUGUUAUUGUAUUCAGGAACCUUUGGCGUAGUUGACCAUACUAAUUACGAAGAUAUUAAAUAUGUUGUAUUCAUCUUGAAAGUGUUUAACCUUCUGAGCAUCCACGAAUUUUUCCAAACAAUUUGACAAUUUAUUUUCUUCUUGCUCAGAUCCGAAAACUCGAUGAUAGUGAGUUUAAGAGCCCUUGGAACAGAAGUUCGAACGGGGUACCGUGACGUGGAUAGGUCCGUUCAACAUCCAUGUUUUGGCCUUCGCAAGGUUAUAAUCUUACAUUUAGCGUGAUCCAUGGGGUAGUUUCAUUUCUGGUAUUUAUUUAAUUUUUGAACUAUUUGAACGAGAAAACCUGCUAAUACUUUUGGCGUACCUCUUGUUGCUAAUAUUGAAGCUUGAAUACCCUUUUUUUUAAUUCUAGACAUGUAAAUGUUGCAUAUGUCACUUGAUUGAUAAAGCUGAAACUUUGCUUUCAGCUACUUCAAUACACGACCUAAGUUAACUAAAUCAACAUCUACGAAAAAUAGUGGUGCUAUAUUCAAUUUCUCUUUAAAGAGUUGAAAAAAUUUCAGCCUUUUCAAAUCCCAAAGUCUCUUGCUUUUUUAUCCUCCAAUCAUCCUCUAUGUUUCUCUCUUAAUCUUACACAUUAAACGGUAAUAUAUUCUUGUUUUCGUAUCAAUGUUUUAAAAGCCUUGAAAAAAAUUGUGUUUUCCACUCUUCUCCAACUGCCAUUGACUGUCUUGCUUCAAGGCUUUUGAGUGAAUUUACAAGUUAUUAUCAUUAUACUUGAAUGCCAUUGAAGCUAAAUUUUCUGAGUUGAUUAAAAAAAAACACAGAAUGAGAGGUUCACAUACUAGGAGUAGCUACAUUUAGGUGGUACCGAUGAUAGAUAGUCAUUAAAGGUAAAGUGCAGGUGAUAGAAAUAGUGAUGGUGUGAUAGAACUAGAUGUGGUCCUGGUGGUUAUGUGAUGGACUUGAGUACUGAUAAUUGUGGAUGAAGUUCACGCAAUGGUACGAUGGAGAUAGAAGUUCUACUGGUGAUUCUGGUGGUAAUAAUUUGAUGAUUUCAAGUGGCAUUAUUAAUUUCUUUAAUAAUCAAACAUUAAGCAU